AACGCGAAGAACCUUACCAGGUCUUGACAUCCUUUGACCACUCUAGAGAUAGAGCUUUCCCUUCGGGGACAAAGUGACAGGUGGUGCAUGGUUGUCGUCAGCUCGUGUCGUGAGAUGUUGGGUUAAGUCCCGCAACGAGCGCAACCCUUAUUGUUAGUUGCCAUCAUUUAGUUGGGCACUCUAGCGAGACUGCCGGUGACAAACCGGAGGAAGGUGGGGAUGACGUCAAAUCAUCAUGCCCCUUAUGACCUGGGCUACACACGUGCUACAAUGGGAGGUACAACGAGUCGCUAGACCGCGAGGUCAUGCAAAUCUCUUAAAGCUUCUCUCAGCUCGGAUUGCAGGCUGCAACUCGCCUGCAUGAAGCCGGAAUCGCUAGUAAUCGCGGAUCAGCACGCCGCGGUGAAUACGUUCCCGGGCCUUGUACACACCG
RNAcentral lists this ribosomal RNA (433 nucleotides) under uncultured Enterococcus sp. Its description in RNAcentral is "bacterial SSU rRNA". It matches the Rfam family "Bacterial small subunit ribosomal RNA", at positions 958 to 1392 of the family's 1533-position model. The record is from RNAcentral. Lineage: Bacteria; Bacillati; Bacillota; Bacilli; Lactobacillales; Enterococcaceae.